GAUGAACGCUGGCGGCGUGCCUAAUACAUGCAAGUCGAGCGAACAGAUGAGGAGCUUGCUCCUCUGACGUUAGCGGCGGACGGGUGAGUAACACGUGGAUAACCUACCUAUAAGACUGGGAUAACUUCGGGAAACCGGAGCUAAUACCGGAUAAUAUAUUGAACAGCAUGGUUCAAUAGUGAAAGACGGUUUUGCUGUCACUUAUAGAUGGAUCCGCGCCGCAUUAGCUAGUUGGUAAGGUAACGGCUUACCAAGGCAACGAUGCGUAGCCGACCUGAGAGGGUGAUCGGCCACACUGGAACUGAGACACGGUCCAGACUCCUACGGGAGGCAGCAGUAGGGAAUCUUCCGCAAUGGGCGAAAGCCUGGCGGAGCAACGCCGCGUGAGUGAUGAAGGUCUUCGGAUCGUAAAACUCUGUUAUUAGGGAAGAACAAAUGUGUAAGUAACUAUGCACGUCUUGACGGUACCUAAUCAGAAAGCCACGGCUAACUACGUG
This 497-nucleotide ribosomal RNA is filed under the name uncultured bacterium. RNAcentral describes it as "partial 16S ribosomal RNA". It matches the Rfam family "Bacterial small subunit ribosomal RNA", at positions 28 to 507 of the family's 1533-position model. The record is from RNAcentral.